RNAcentral lists this transfer-messenger RNA (313 nucleotides) under Candidatus Parcubacteria bacterium. It matches the Rfam family "transfer-messenger RNA". From Rfam's summary of the family: Bacterial tmRNA, also known as 10Sa RNA or SsrA, is named for its dual tRNA and mRNA-like properties. Lineage: Bacteria; Candidatus Parcubacteria. The record is from RNAcentral.
GGGGGCGAGAGGUUUCGACGGCAAUUUUAUCUCAGAAAAUUGCAAGCCGAGCUAGAAUCUCGUUAAACUUCAAAAACUGCCAACUUAGAAAAAACUCCUGCUUUGGCACUUGCCUAAAGCAGGCGCCACCCUUGAUUCUCGCUAAAAGGGUUAGGUGUCAUAAAGCGAGAGAUUUUUGUUCCUUAAAAAAUUCUGGAUGAAAGAGUUCCCCAAUUCUCUCUUUCAUCCGAAAAAAUCUCAAAAAUUGGGUAAGCUUGUAGAAAUUUUCUGAGGAAAUUGCCGGACUUGGGUUCAAUUCCCAACGCCUCCAUAA